RNAcentral lists this transfer RNA (65 nucleotides) under Varanus brevicauda (Short-tailed pygmy monitor). RNAcentral's name for it is "tRNA-Tyr". It matches the Rfam family "tRNA". Rfam says of the family: Transfer RNA (tRNA) molecules are approximately 80 nucleotides in length. The record is from RNAcentral. Lineage: Eukaryota; Metazoa; Chordata; Lepidosauria; Squamata; Varanidae.
GGUAAGGUGGCUGAGUAGGCGGUAGACUGUAAAUCUAUUUACGAGAUGAUAUAUCUCCCUUACCA